This 803-nucleotide ribosomal RNA is filed under the name uncultured bacterium. RNAcentral's name for it is "bacterial SSU rRNA". It matches the Rfam family "Bacterial small subunit ribosomal RNA", at positions 692 to 1502 of the family's 1533-position model. The record is from RNAcentral.
AGAUAUUAGGAGGAACACCAGUGGCGAAGGCGGCCUACUGGGCUGUAACUGACGCUGAGGCUCGAAAGCGUGGGUAGCAAACAGGAUUAGAUACCCUGGUAGUCCACGCCGUAAACGAUGAUUACUAGGUGUGGGGGGACUGACCCCUUCCGUGCCGGAGUUAACACAAUAAGUAAUCCACCUGGGGAGUACGACCGCAAGGUUGAAACUCAAAGGAAUUGACGGGGGCCCGCACAAGCAGUGGAGUAUGUGGUUUAAUUCGAAGCAACGCGAAGAACCUUACCAGGUCUUGACAUCGAGCGACGAACUUAGAGAUAAGUUCUUCCUUCGGGACGCGAAGACAGGUGGUGCAUGGUUGUCGUCAGCUCGUGUCGUGAGAUGUUGGGUUAAGUCCCGCAACGAGCGCAACCCUUAUCAUUAGUUGCUACGCAAGAGCACUCUAAUGAGACUGCCGUUGAUAAAACGGAGGAAGGUGGGGAUGACGUCAAAUCAUCAUGCCCCUUAUGACCUGGGCUACACACGUACUACAAUGGUGAUCAAACAGAGGGAAGCAACACAGCGAUGUGAAGCAAAUCCCGAAAAAUCAUCUCAGUUCAGAUUGCAGGCUGCAACUCGCCUGCAUGAAGUCGGAAUUGCUAGUAAUCGCGGAUCAGCAUGCCGCGGUGAAUACGUUCCCGGGCCUUGUACACACCGCCCGUCACACCAUGGGAGUCGGUAACACCCGAAGCCAGUAGCCUAACCGCAAGGAGGGCGCUGUCGAAGGUGGGAUUGAUGACUGGGGUGAAGUCGUAACAAGGUAACCA